UACGGAGGGCGCGAGCGUUACUCGGAAUUACUGGGCGUAAAGCGCGCGUAGGCUGUUGUGUAAGUUGGGGGUGAAAUCCCACGGCUCAACCGUGGAACAGCCCUUGAUACUGCGCGACUUGAAUCCGGGAGAGGGUGGCAGAAUUCCAGGUGUAGGAGUGAAAUCCGUAGAUAUCUGGAGGAACAUCAGUGGCGAAGGCGGCCACCUGGACCGGUAUUGACGCUGAGGCGCGAAAGCGUGGGGAGCAAACAGG
RNAcentral lists this ribosomal RNA (253 nucleotides) under uncultured bacterium. Its description in RNAcentral is "partial 16S ribosomal RNA". It matches the Rfam family "Bacterial small subunit ribosomal RNA", at positions 524 to 776 of the family's 1533-position model. The record is from RNAcentral.